This 432-nucleotide ribosomal RNA is filed under the name uncultured bacterium. RNAcentral describes it as "partial 16S ribosomal RNA". It matches the Rfam family "Bacterial small subunit ribosomal RNA", at positions 29 to 507 of the family's 1533-position model. The record is from RNAcentral.
GCGAACGCUGGCGGCAGGCUUAACACAUGCAAGUCGAACGCACCUUUCGGGGUGAGUGGCAGACGGGUGAGUAACGCGUGGGAAUCUACCCUUCUCUACGGGAUAGCUCCGGGAAACUGGAAUUAAUACCGUAUACGUCCUGAGGGAGAAAGAUUUAUCGGGGAAGGAUGAGCCCGCGUUGGAUUAGCUAGUUGGUGGGGUAAAGGCCUACCAAGGCGACGAUCCAUAGCUGGUCUAAGAGGAUGAUCAGCCACAUUGGGACUGAGACACGGCCCAAACUCCUACGGGAGGCAGCAGUGGGGAAUAUUGGACAAUGGGCGCAAGCCUGAUCCAGCCAUGCCGCGUGAGUGAUGAAGGCCCUAGGGUUGUAAAGCUCUUUCAGUGGGGACGAUAAUGACGGUACCCACAGAAGAAGCCCCGGCUAACUUCGUG